CUCUUCGGAUCGUAAAACUCUGUUGUUAGGGAAGAACAAGUGUGUAAGUAACUGUGCGCGUCUUGACGGUACCUAAUCAGAAAGCCACGGCUAACUACGUGCCAGCAGCCGCGGUAAUACGUAGGUGGCAAGCGUUAUCCGGAAUUAUUGGGCGUAAAGCGCGCGUAGGCGGUUUCUUAAGUCUGAUGUGAAAGCCCACGGCUCAACCGUGGAGGGUCAUUGGAAACUGGGAAACUUGAGUGCAGAAGAAGAAAGUGGAAUUCCAUGUGUAGCGGUGGAAUAA
Molecule: ribosomal RNA, 283 nt
Filed under: uncultured Lactobacillus sp.
Lineage: Bacteria; Bacillati; Bacillota; Bacilli; Lactobacillales; Lactobacillaceae
Description: partial 16S ribosomal RNA
Rfam family: Bacterial small subunit ribosomal RNA
Source: RNAcentral